AGUCACGUGGGAGGACAAUGGUGAGAAGAGGGAACCUAAGAAUUCCUGGACUCUGACUGGGCGUGAGAAAUGGCCGGAAGUAGCUUCGAGUCCGUCAUUCAAGCAGUAGAGGCUCUGGAGAAAAACUGGAGCGCAUCUGCUUAAAGGGCCGCCCAGGGUCAGGAUGGAGGGGCAAAGUCCGAGCAGGGUCAGUGGGUUGCUGCUCCGUUUUCCUGUCCUGGGUUCAAGUCACCCUUCCCCCAGGGCUAAGGGCUCAGCGCCCCUACCGUCUCGUUAGAAAUCCUGCCUUCCCAUUCCUAUGGUCCAGUGGUCAGCCCUCCUAGCCUGAGAGGUGCAGCCUUGCCUCUCCGAGGGGAAGCCUGACUCUCCCGAUGGCCAGCCUGGGGCCCCUGGACGGCUCUCCGGGCACUUUCUGAACACACCUCCCUUUAGGACCCAGGGGAAAUAAUUUGUCCCACGCCCAUACCCUGGGCGAGUUCCUGGUUUCUGAGGUGGGAGAGCCAUCACUGGAGAGGUGGCAUUGGCGCCAGUACUCAGGCCAGAAGCCCCUUGUGCCCUGCUCUCAGGUAGGCCUGGAAAAGGGCAACAGUGCCUCUCUGCAGCAUGAAGCCCCCCUGAGCAAACAGGGCCUAGCAACUCCUGCCCAGGUAGCGGAAUGUGGCCCAAGCAGAAGGGGGAAUUGGGGAGGUAGCGGGGAUCAGCCCCUGUGCUGGGACCCCUAGCUCUUGACACUCGGAGCCUGCAUCCCCCUAAGCCAAGACUGUGCGCAGGCAGCACGUGCUGAAGCCAGACGAGGACAGCAUGAGAGUUCCCCUACUCUUCCCCCAGGCAACUAGAUGGGCCACUUCUCUCUCCCUAGGGGUUUCCUCCCAUAUUGGAUCACGAUGAAAACUGCACAGAAAGUCCGUGCUCAGUUUCUUCCAUGGUUACAGAACACAGGCCCCAGACCAGGAAGGCAUUCUGCUAAAGAAGGGGACCCGAAACCUCAGCUACCAGCGCCGAUGGUUCAUCCUCCGAGGAAACCUCCUCUUCUACCUAGAACACUAGACCGACCAUGCACCCCUGAGCCUCAUCCUGUUAGAGAACUGCCAGGUGGAACCACACCUUAAGGCUGCAGAACCCUAUGCCUUUACCAUCCUGACCCCUGGGGUGGAGGGCACAGGUGGGCGGGCCUACAAGCUGGCUGCAGAAACCCAGGAAGAGCUGGAGACUUGGCUGUGGGCACUGGCUGGCGCGAGCUGGAGGCGGCUGGCUGGGCUGCUGUCCCCCCUCCCCCCCCACCAAAACCCAAUACUGGGAGCUGUGCCAGGCAACUGGCCAAGAACCCAUCUCAUCCCCAGAGGACAGUGGCUUUCUAGCCACUGUGAGUACCCCCUCCAGCUUCCAGGAGUUGCAUGAGCACUUUGGGAAGGAGAUCCGGGUGCUGCACGUGGUACAUAGAGAGCUCCAGGCAGCCAGUGACAAUGGAGACAGCAGAUCCCAGGCAAAGAUGGAGCAGGAGCUCAACCAGUGUCUGAUGAGUGACUGAGAGAUGGACCCAAAGCUAAGAGGUACCUACUUGCCAAGACAGCAGACUGCUUCAACAGAGACCCAGGUCCUGGCUCUGUCCCUCCCUCCCUCGUCCUUACCCCAUCCCCCCCUCAUCAAAUAACAAGGCAGAAAACAGGCCCAGGUACAACAGCAGGUUCUUUUCCAAUUCCUCAAAGCGCUGCAUGGGGUGGGGGCAGAGACAGAAGAGAAUGUAAACAUUGGGUUCCACCCCCUGGAGCUCAAGGGAAGACCCUUACCCAGAUAGGGACUAACUGGAGGGGUGGAAGGGAACAAGGUGAAAGGUAUGGGUCCUGGUGAGACAAAAGCAGGGGGGCCUGAGAACACAGAGCAAGGUGGGUUUGGAGGGAGCACAGCAGGGUGCAGGAAGGGAGAUGGGGGACAUUUCCUAUUCCAGUGCAUGUCCCCUUAAAUAAACUGGGUACAGGAGCAUUAUGGAAGGAGAACCAAAGGACAGAAGACAAAGCGAGCACCCCCACCCCAGGCCAACGCCAUCCUCUGUACACAAUUACAACACAGGUCCAGAAUGAGAGCCCUGGCCAGGAAGUGGGGGAGACAGGGAGGGCUGAAGACAGGGAAAAGGAAGCCAGCUCCACCUCAUGGUAAGGGGAGCUAUGGAGUGUAAGAAUCUGAAACUGCUGACUCCCAUCACCAGGAGUCACCCCUGGGAUGACAACGGGCCAUUCAGGACAGCACCUAGGAGGGGACCCAGAGGGAACUGGGGCAGGAGCGACAGAGACCCCAGCUGAGCCUCAUGGGAGAUGA
Molecule: long non-coding RNA, 2313 nt
Filed under: Homo sapiens (human)
Lineage: Eukaryota; Metazoa; Chordata; Mammalia; Primates; Hominidae
Description: non-protein coding lnc-MYLPF-1:7
Source: RNAcentral